CGAACCUACCCUUUAAACCGGGACAACAGUUGGAAACGACUGCUAAUACCGGAUGAGCUUGCCGAGGGACAUCCCUUGGUAAGGAAAGAUGGCCUCUGUAUAUGCUAUCGAUAAAGGAUGGGCCCGCGUCUGAUUAGCUAGUUGGUGAGGUAAUGGCCCACCAAGGCGACGAUCAGUAGCCGGCCUGAGAGGGUGAUCGGCCACACUGGGACUGAGACACGGCCCAG
This 227-nucleotide ribosomal RNA is filed under the name uncultured bacterium. Its description in RNAcentral is "partial 16S ribosomal RNA". It matches the Rfam family "Bacterial small subunit ribosomal RNA", at positions 122 to 334 of the family's 1533-position model. The record is from RNAcentral.